This 218-nucleotide long non-coding RNA is filed under the name Mytilus galloprovincialis (Mediterranean mussel). The record is from RNAcentral. Lineage: Eukaryota; Metazoa; Mollusca; Bivalvia; Mytilida; Mytilidae.
AUAUGUCGCGCAUCAAGGAUCUAACGAAACUCGAUAGACAGGUCAAAUCUGGUGACCUAAGUUCACAAACUAUAUAUUUGAAUAAUAUUAAUUUUUCGUCCAAUCAGAAUCCAUCUCUUAAACGAGUUUCGGAACAUCAUUCAAAAUGGCGAGCAAAAGUGACAUAGACGUAGCGAUUGACAAAGUUUUAACUGAUUUCAAAAUUUCCACCCUCAAAG